Molecule: transfer RNA, 78 nt
Filed under: Cyanobacteria bacterium UBA11367
Lineage: Bacteria; Bacillati; Cyanobacteriota
Description: tRNA-Tyr
Rfam family: tRNA (bases 6-75)
About the family: Transfer RNA (tRNA) molecules are approximately 80 nucleotides in length. Their secondary structure includes four short double-helical elements and three loops (D, anti-codon, and T loops).
Source: RNAcentral
GGUCGAUGCCCGAGUGGUUAAUGGGGGCGGACUGUAAAUCCGUUGGCUGACGCCUUUGGGGGUUCGAAUCCCUCUGCC